RNAcentral lists this long non-coding RNA (799 nucleotides) under Fukomys damarensis (Damara mole-rat). RNAcentral's name for it is "lncRNA (ENSFDAG00000027107.1)". The record is from RNAcentral. Lineage: Eukaryota; Metazoa; Chordata; Mammalia; Rodentia; Bathyergidae.
GGAAGGCAAACAGGCCAAUACACAGCCUUGUGCUCCCGGCUCCCUCCCACCCCUGCCUCUUCCAGCCCUGCCCAGCACUAAAUAUUUAGUAUUGGGGGCAGAUGGGAAGGAAGCCUCAGGGCCAGAGGGCUCGAUAGUACUGCAAGCAGGUCUCAGAUAAACAAAAGAGGCAACUUCUUUCCUGCCCUCUCCCCUUCCCCAGCCCUGGGCUGUUGCCAUAGAGGACAGCUUCUCUGGAUGAGAAGUUUAGCUAUCUAGCAUCAGCCCUGGAUGGAAUCUUGAUAGAAGAGCUUCGACAUCUUUAUUUAUUCACAGAGGAGGGGAAAAAAAGGAAAGAAAACCAGGGGGUAAAUUCUCCUAGGUAGUACAACCCAACGCAAGUCUGUUUAAGGACAAUGCCACUCUGCUGUCUUCUGCACAGAUGAAUAAGCAUGCAUGUUUUAAAAAAUAGCAGAAGCUUGCCUAUGGAGAUCCCAAUGGGGAAGCUUUUGCCAGCACAGAAAAAGAGAGUCUCUCUACAGGAAAACCAGGACCUAGAAAAAUAAAAUGGACGCAAAGUGAUACCAGCCAAACCCAGCUCAAUAUACUUCAAACUUGCUAUUCCAUACAGUCCUCUUGAAAGUGAUGCUUAUAAACCACAAAAUGACACCACUGAUAAUGUCACAGAACUUGACAAGACAUUAGCCUGAAUCUACGUAAAAUAACGCAUGUCUGGUCAAAAUGUUUCCAGGCUAUUGUCCCUAAGAAUAAUGAUUAACAUCAGCUCUUCUCAUGUGAAUUAUUCUGUCUUAAUCAAAAC